UAGCGGCGGACGGGUGAGUAACACGUGGAUAACCUACCUAUAAGACUGGGAUAACUUCGGGAAACCGGAGCUAAUACCGGAUAACAUAUUGAACCGCAUGGUUCAAUAGUGAAAGGCGGCUUUGCUGUCACUUAUAGAUGGAUCCGCGCCGUAUUAGCUAGUUGGUAAGGUAACGGCUUACCAAGGCAACGAUACGUAGCCGACCUGAGAGGGUGAUCGGCCACACUGGAACUGAGACACGGUCCAGACUCCUACGGGAGGCAGCAGUAGGGAAUCUUCCGCAAUGGGCGAAAGCCUGACGGAGCAACGCCGCGUGAGUGAUGAWGGUCUUCGGAUCGUAAAACUCUGUUAUCAGGGAAGAACAAAUGUGUAAGUAACUGUGYACAUCUUGACGGUCCUGAUCAGAAGCCACGGCUAACUACGUGC
RNAcentral lists this ribosomal RNA (426 nucleotides) under Staphylococcus pasteuri. RNAcentral's name for it is "bacterial SSU rRNA". It matches the Rfam family "Bacterial small subunit ribosomal RNA", at positions 93 to 508 of the family's 1533-position model. The record is from RNAcentral. Lineage: Bacteria; Bacillati; Bacillota; Bacilli; Caryophanales; Staphylococcaceae.